AUCGCUUCUCGGCUCGAUGAGCUAAGAUCAAGCGUAGUGUCUGUUCUUAUCAGUUUGAUCACUGAUAGGCCCUUAUUUAAGGGCUGUGUAUUAAAUUGAUUUUUGACCCAGGGGCUGGAUGAGGAGCUUGCUCUGUCCACCCCACGCAUUGGCCUGGUAUUGCAGUAUUUCCAGGAACGGUGCAUCCCCC
Molecule: small nuclear RNA, 190 nt
Filed under: Chelydra serpentina (North American snapping turtle)
Lineage: Eukaryota; Metazoa; Chordata; Testudines; Chelydridae
Description: U2 spliceosomal RNA (ENSCSRG00000014033.1)
Rfam family: U2 spliceosomal RNA
About the family: U2 is a small nuclear RNA (snRNA) component of the spliceosome (involved in pre-mRNA splicing). Complementary binding between U2 snRNA (in an area lying towards the 5' end but 3' to hairpin I) and the branchpoint sequence (BPS) of the intron results the bulging out of an unpaired adenosine, on the BPS, which initiates a nucleophilic attack at the intronic 5' splice site, thus starting the first of two transesterification reactions that mediate splicing.
Source: Rfam by way of RNAcentral